Transfer RNA from Verticillium longisporum, 97 nucleotides. It matches the Rfam family "tRNA". Rfam says of the family: Transfer RNA (tRNA) molecules are approximately 80 nucleotides in length. Their secondary structure includes four short double-helical elements and three loops (D, anti-codon, and T loops). The record is from Rfam. Lineage: Eukaryota; Fungi; Ascomycota; Sordariomycetes; Glomerellales; Plectosphaerellaceae.
UUCCGAUUAGUCUAGUAGUUAGGAUAUCGGCUUGUUAUCAAAGGACCUUGAGUUCUGACAUUCGCCGGGGACCGGGGUUCAAUUCCCUAAUUGGAAG